This 255-nucleotide ribosomal RNA is filed under the name uncultured bacterium. Its description in RNAcentral is "partial 16S ribosomal RNA". It matches the Rfam family "Bacterial small subunit ribosomal RNA", at positions 99 to 354 of the family's 1533-position model. The record is from RNAcentral.
CGGACGGGUGAGUAACGCGUGGAAAACCUGCCGUAUACUGGGGGAUAACACUUAGAAAUAGGUGCUAAUACCGCAUAAGCGCACAGCUUCGCAUGAAGCGGUGUGAAAAACUCUGGUGGUAUACGAUGGUUCCNCGUCUGAUUAGCUAGUUGGUGGGGUAAUGGCCUACCAAGGCAACAAUCAGUAGCCGGCCUGAGAGGGUGAACGGCCACAUUGGGACUGAGACACGGCCCAAACUCCUACGGAAGGCAGCAG